This 253-nucleotide ribosomal RNA is filed under the name uncultured bacterium. Its description in RNAcentral is "partial 16S ribosomal RNA". It matches the Rfam family "Bacterial small subunit ribosomal RNA", at positions 524 to 776 of the family's 1533-position model. The record is from RNAcentral.
UACAGAGGUCUCAAGCGUUGUUCGGAUUCAUUGGGCGUAAAGGGUGCGUAGGUGGCGCGCUAAGUCGGGUGUGAAAUUUCGGAGCUUAACUCCGAAACUGCAUUCGAUACUGGCGUGCUCGAGGACUGGAGAGGAGACUGGAAUUCAUGGUGUAGCAGUGAAAUGCGUAGAGAUCAUGAGGAAGACCAGUGGCGAAGGCGGGUCUCUGGGCAGUAACUGACGCUGAGGAGCGAAAGCGUGGGGAGCGAACAGG